UACGAAGGGGGCUAGCGUUGUUCGGAAUCACUGGGCGUAAAGCGCGUGUAGGCGGCCCGAUAAGUCCGCUGUGAAAGUCCAGGGCUCAACCCUGGGAUGCCGGUGGAUACUGUCGGGCUCGAGUCCGGAAGAGGCGAGUGGAAUUCCUGGUGUAGCGGUGAAAUGCGCAGAUAUCAGGAGGAACACCAAUGGCGAAGGCAGCUCGCUGGGACGUGACUGACGCUGAGACGCGAAAGCGUGGGGAGCAAACAGG
RNAcentral lists this ribosomal RNA (253 nucleotides) under uncultured bacterium. RNAcentral describes it as "partial 16S ribosomal RNA". It matches the Rfam family "Bacterial small subunit ribosomal RNA", at positions 524 to 776 of the family's 1533-position model. The record is from RNAcentral.